This is a non-coding RNA of Tephrocybe rancida, 90 nucleotides long. NCBI's taxonomy places the organism in Eukaryota, Fungi, Basidiomycota, Agaricomycetes, Agaricales, Lyophyllaceae. The record is from the annotation of a GenBank genome assembly.
GGCCGACUAGCUCAGCUGGUUAGAGCGUCGUGCUAAUAUUCUUCAUGAAUAAAUACGCGAAGGUCUUGGGUUCGAUCCCCACGUUGGCCA